GGAAGGGCAAGCCGAUGGGCGACGGCACCGGUCUCGAAAACCGGCGAGCGACGAGCCUUGCGGGUUCAACUCCCGCUCCUUCCG
This 84-nucleotide transfer RNA is filed under the name Gemmata algarum. RNAcentral describes it as "tRNA-Ser". It matches the Rfam family "tRNA". From Rfam's summary of the family: Transfer RNA (tRNA) molecules are approximately 80 nucleotides in length. The record is from RNAcentral. Lineage: Bacteria; Pseudomonadati; Planctomycetota; Planctomycetia; Gemmatales; Gemmataceae.